CGUGCAGGUGGUUUGGUAAGUUGGAUGUGAAAUCUCCCGGCUCAACUGGGAGAGGUCGUUCAAAACUGCCAGGCUAGAGGACGGUAGAGGAAAGUGGAAUUCCCGGUGUAGUGGUGAAAUGCGUAGAUAUCGGGAGGAACACCAGUGGCGAAAGCGACUUUCUGGCCCGUUCCUGACACUAAGACGCGAAAGCUAGGGUAGCAAACG
RNAcentral lists this ribosomal RNA (207 nucleotides) under uncultured bacterium. RNAcentral describes it as "partial 16S ribosomal RNA". It matches the Rfam family "Bacterial small subunit ribosomal RNA", at positions 568 to 774 of the family's 1533-position model. The record is from RNAcentral.